Molecule: ribosomal RNA, 497 nt
Filed under: uncultured bacterium
Lineage: Bacteria
Description: partial 16S ribosomal RNA
Rfam family: Bacterial small subunit ribosomal RNA
Source: RNAcentral
GAUGAACGCUGGCGGCGUGCCUAAUACAUGCCAGUCGAGCGAACAGACGAGGAGCUUGCUCCUCUGACGUUAGCGGCGGACGGGUGAGUAACACGUGGAUAACCUACCUAUAAGACUGGGAUAACUUCGGGAAACCGGAGCUAAUACCGGAUAAUAUAUUGAACCGCAUGGUUCAAUAGUUAAAGACGGUUUUGCUGUCACUUAUAGAUGGAUCCGCGCCGCAUUAGCUAGUUGGUAAGGUAACGGCUUACCAAGGCGACGAUGCGUAGCCGACCUGAGAGGAUGAUCGGCCACACUGGAACUGAGACACGGUCCAGACUCCUACGGGAGGCAGCAGUAGGGAAUCUUCCGCAAUGGGCGAAAGCCUGACGGAGCAACGCCGCGUGAGUGAUGAAGGUCUUCGGAUCGUAAAACUCUGUUAUUAGGGAAGAACAAAUGUGUAAGUAACUAUGCACGUCUUGACGGUACCUAAUCAGAAAGCCACGGCUAACUACGUG